AUGAACGCUGGCGGCAUGCCUAACACCUGCAAGUCGAUCGGUAAGGCUCUUCGGAGUACACGAGAGGCGGACGGCUGAGUAACGCGUAGGAACACACCCUGCAGUGAGGGAUAAGACACCGAAAGGUGUUCUAAUACCGCAUACGGUCUUCGGAUUAAAGCAUUUAUGCGCUGAAGGAGUGGCCUGCGUCAUAUUAGAUAGUUGGUGAGGUAAUGGCUCACCAAGUCGAUGAUGUGUAGCUGGUCUGAGAGGAUGAUCAGCCAGACUGGAACUGAGACACGGUCCAGACUCCUACGGGAGGCAGCAGUGAGGAAUAUUUCACAAUGAGCGAAAGCUUGAUGGAGCAAUGCCGCGUGCAGGAUGAAGGCCCUCGGGUUGUAAACUGCUUUUAUAAGAGAAGAUUAUGACGGUAACUGAUGAAUAAGGGACGGCUAACUACGUG
Molecule: ribosomal RNA, 442 nt
Filed under: uncultured bacterium
Lineage: Bacteria
Description: partial 16S ribosomal RNA
Rfam family: Bacterial small subunit ribosomal RNA
Source: RNAcentral